CCUACGGGAGGCUGCAGUGAGGAAUAUUGGUCAAUGGCCGGAAGGCUGAACCAGCCAUGCCGCGUGAAGGUCAGUGCCCUAUGGGCGUUAAACUUCUUUUGUGCGGGAGCAAUAAUGGUCACGUGUGGCCAGACGAGAGUACCGUACGAAUAAGCAUCGGCUAACUCCGUGCCAGCAGCCGCGGUAAUACGGGGGAUGCAAGCGUUAUCCGGAUUUAUUGGGGUUAAAGGGUGCGUAGGCUGUGUGGUAAGUCAGCGGUGAAAUGCCCCCGCUCAACGGGGUGAAGUGCCAUUGAUACUGCUAUGCUGGAAUGCGGAUGCGGUAGGAGGAAUGUGUGGUGUAGCGGUGAAAUGCAUAGAUAUCACACAGAACACCGAUUGCGAAGGCAUCUCACGAAUCCGCGAUUGACGCUGAUGCACGAAAGCGUGGGUAUCAAACAGGAUUAGAUACCCUAGUAGUC
Molecule: ribosomal RNA, 460 nt
Filed under: uncultured bacterium
Lineage: Bacteria
Description: partial 16S ribosomal RNA
Rfam family: Bacterial small subunit ribosomal RNA
Source: RNAcentral